This is a non-coding RNA of Acanthosepion pharaonis, 112 nucleotides long. The record is from the annotation of a GenBank genome assembly. Lineage: Eukaryota; Metazoa; Mollusca; Cephalopoda; Sepiida; Sepiidae.
UACAGCGAUAUCACGUUGAAACAACGGUUCUCAUACAAUUACCGAAGUUAAGGGAACGUCGAGCCUGGUUAGUACCUCGAUGAGUAACCACUUGGGAAUAUCAGGUGCAGUA